GGAGAUUCCAAAGAGGUAACAUGCAUUGCUAUCGAAGGUCGUUUGACCCCCUAAAUAAUUCGCCGAAGUUGGAACUUCGACACAGUUUUUCCGUAGUGCCGAAAAAUUUGUCAAAAUCCGAUUCUUCCUCUUUUAACCGCCUCUACAACCCUUACCCGACCCCUCUAGACUAUAUCCACCCUUUGUAUAGCCUAAUGUCAUCAAAAGACUAGAUAGGGACGGAUAUUUACCUUUUUCUUUUUGGAAAUCGAGGUCCUUGCGUAGAGGGGAAGGAGAUCUACACUUUUCCCUUCAGCUGGCAGCGCAACCG
This 310-nucleotide long non-coding RNA is filed under the name Phoenix dactylifera (date palm). RNAcentral's name for it is "long non-coding RNA (PDAC_LNC019066)". Lineage: Eukaryota; Viridiplantae; Streptophyta; Magnoliopsida; Arecales; Arecaceae. The record is from RNAcentral.